Non-coding RNA from Coturnix japonica (Japanese quail), 4815 nucleotides. Lineage: Eukaryota; Metazoa; Chordata; Aves; Galliformes; Phasianidae. The record is from RefSeq and is a predicted model, not a curated record.
CCUAGCAGGUAGAGGAGAGAAGGGAAAAAAAGCAUUUUUUGAAAUGCAAUUCACAACUUCAGAGAGGCAUUUAUGCGAGUUAGCCUUGUCAUCAAUGAAUGCACUCUGUCAGCUGGUUUAAACUUCACUGACCAAACAUUAAUAUUCAUUUGCUCAUUUAAAGUGGGAGUUAGGAAGGGGACUACUGCAACUGGAAAAUCAGCCUUCACACCAAUUGAGCCCUUGCUGAAUGCAACAGGUUCAAGAUCUAUCUUCGCUGAGAUUAAAAAUGAAAUCACCAACUAUGAUUCCUGAGAUUCAGUAAAUGUUAAAAAUUGCAUGCAAUCUAAAUUUGUUUUGUUCAAUCUACAAUAAUUUACUAGAAAAAUAAUCCAGAAUUAGUGGACAAUUCAUUUUUAAGCUGGAGAAAUUGCAGAGCAUGUGUCAUAGAUAAAAUGAAUUGCAAAUUAUAGUUCCCUGUACUAAAAUAAAGGUAAUAAUAGGGUAUCCAACUGUAUAUGUACAGCUGUUUCAGCUCUUUACACUACUCUGAAAAAGCAACUUUCCUUGACCAUAAAGAAUAUAGAAUGGGAAAGGAAAUACUGCUGCAAGAAAUCUCUCCAUAGUAAAAGCUAUUUUAAUGAAAACAUCAUCUCUCCAUUGUCCAUGAGAACAGACACCUUCUUGAGUGAAACAACAAGACAAAUAAAGACAACCUCACUUAAACACCACAGAGAACAGAAGAGCAGGAAAUAACAAAGGGGAAGACAUUUUAUGAAGCAAGUAUACAAAACUAAGCCACCAAGGGACACAAAGCUAAAUUUAACGUGAGAAACACAAAGGCUACAUUUAUUAUGGAUUCGGGACACAAUCAUUUAAAAGAAAACUUCACUGACUCGUGUUUAAGAAAAAAGAAUUUUUUUAUUUCAAAGCAUGAGGAACCCAGUGUUAUUGGGAAACAAAAAAUGCUUAAAAACCACUAAUUGUUUCAACUUAAUGUAGCUCUGUUGAUACUACAAAUUUCCUUCACUUGCACAAGCUGAAGUUUCACACUGUAAUUACUUCCAUACAGAACAGAUAUAUUUUUCUGUCAUACUUCCAUAACCAAGUAUCAGUGCAAAUUGCACAUCUCAGAUGAGCACAUGUUGUGGAAAAGAUUGACCACAUCAUUUCUGCUGAUAGACAUUCAUUUCCAGAAUCACCAGUGGUGGGUCUCUGCUUGCCAAGCCUUAUAAAUAUUACAACUUCUCCUUUCCAAUGCUAGUGUAAAGUUAUGAGUCCUCAAUGCUUAAAAAAACUCCCCAUCAGAACAGGACAUUUCACUAACUAUACUCUUUCAUGUGAAGAAGAUGAGAAAAAUAAAUGAUAUGGCAAAUAUUAACCACAUCCCUUAAUCCUAUAGGCUGUUCAAAUUACAGUUGGUAUGAAGUAAAACAGCACAGAAUAGAAAGAGUUUUAAAACACGGUAAUGCAUUUUAGAUAAUGUGACCACUUCUAGAAGAUCCUGACUGACUGCAAAUUUUCUAGCAUGGAAACCACAGGUGGCUUAGAAAAUUAUAAGUAAAAUAGGCAGGGUAUGUGUUAAGUGCUAAGAGCAAAGCUACAGUAAGGUGUGUGUUGGGGUCCACCCAAGGCUGGGGGUUCAACAUCAUCUUUCAAAGCAAAAAAAAAAAUACUCAGAGCACAUCAGUAGAACUCCUACGCUUCAAAAUACUUGAAGCUGGGCAUAAGCUUGAGGAUCAGAUAGGUGGGAUGGCAGGUGUUCAUUACUGGGUGUGAUAACAGAGAACAGGGCCUCAUAAAUGCUUAUGGUAUCUUCUUAACAUCCAUGUUCAGCCUUUGGCAAACCUCUUUCACAAUUCUUUUGCCUGAGGUGAAUAUUUUCUGACAUGGUAUCUGUUACAGCAGAUAUGUACAAGAUGAGACCAACACACUUUUAGUUAGGUAGCAGCAGAAUCCAGCUUGAUAACAAGCGGCAUUACAGGAGCAAGCACCAACCUAUCCAAGUCUGAAUCUAAAGUAUCAGAUGUUUACAAAGUAACAUUAGCUCCUUAUUUUAAUCUUUGCCAAGUAAGAGUCAGAUUAUAUGCACAUAAAAUAAGUCCCUUUACACACAGGUGUCCUUGAAGGUAUAACAAAAAAAAUGUGCUAUGUCACCCUGGAAUGGGAAAGCUGAGUGAAUGUUUCUUUUAUAGGUAACUUGCUCUCUUGAGAAAAAUGCAUCUAUGCAGUGUCUAUAAAGAUUCCAAUCUGGGAAAAAAAAUUCUUCCCAGUUUCUAAUGCAACCACUGAGAUAAAAGGUUAGAAACAAAGGAAAAGCAAACCAAACAUAAACUAUGCAGCAAUAUUCAUGAGAAUUUCCAGUUGCAGCUUGGAAAAUCUAAUUUGAACCAUGAACACUUAAGCUCUGCUCUAAAUCUAAACCCUGUGAUUUUCAUAUUAGAACCAAACUGGACAAAACAUGGCCCAAUCCUGUCUCAUGUAAAUACCAGAUUUUGGGAACUAAAGCCAAAGCCAUGUCGCAAUUCAUGCAGGGAAAAAAAUGGGUUGUUUAAGAGGAUGGGGUCUCUCAGGAUGCCACUCCAGCCACAAAGAAAAAAUAUUUAGUUUUGCUAGCAUCUGUAAAUAUUGUUGCCAAUUGUGGCUAAUAAGACAAGCUGGUUUCAUUAACCACAGGUUGCCCAAGGUUUCUAACAAGUAAUGCUAUGAGCGGAGAAUAAUUUUUCUCCUGUGCUGCAGAUGUCUUCCCCUAGCACUGCUUCCAACAAUAAGUAGUUCCCUGCUCAUCUGCAAUGAGAUGUUGCUCAGCGCACGCCACCCCAGAGUCCUCUUGACUUGGAAAAUGAGAGGAAGAGUUGGCCUGUUUGGCUGCUUUCAAAAGAGUUCUUGCUCGCACAUUAUCAUUUUGAAUAAACAAACAAUUUGCUUGUUAAGCAUUUCCCUGUGUGGUUUCCUGCACCUCAAUUUUCCUCCUCUUCUUUCCUAGCUCAGCAUACCCUCAAGUUGGGUGGUUGUUGUCAUCAGUUUCUGCUCUCACAUUCAAGACUACCUGCAGCGCAGUUACAGCUGGAAUUGCACCGUGACCGUGGGGAUAAGGUUAUGACAAUGCACAACCCAAGAUCUCAAUCAGUGAUUUGUGUUCUGAGAGAUUACAGAUUCUUAUCUUGUGGCAUUACUUGUAGUAAUCAGUCAAUUUUGACGGCUAAUCUAAAGAUCCAUAAGUAUUGUUGCUCAGAAGCUCAGCAGGUAUUGCUGAUAGCCCAACUAUUUACCUACUCUAAAAAAACACAUACCAAAGGAUGUGCUUUAUCUCCUCAUCAGUGGUUUAAAGCUAAAGGUGAACGAAGUGCAACUCACAGGCCCAGGAGUUAAACCCCAAACCAACUUCAUUUUUCAGAUGGGACACUGACCACAAUGAAAAUUAUUUAUCAAGAUGAUGCAACUGCGGGUAAACAAGGACAAAUUUUCAAUCAUGCUUUAUUUCAAGUCUAAGGGACAACUAUUGCCAUCACAUGAUGAUAAUAUGACCAGCUAACAUACCUGCCCUGGUAGCACUUCAGCCGCAAACACCAUCAACUAUAAACAGCUGAAAGUGUCACAUUGAAACUUGUUGACAAACACUGAAUUUUACAACCCAAUACCACAAAACGAUGUGAGCAAUACAUGCUGAAAUUUAUGUAGCCUGUGGUUAAAAUCUCUGGCAUUUCACCAGGCUCAGCCUUAUAUCCCGUGCCAUUUUAUCUCGCCACACUGGCACAUAUACUUACAGGUUUGCAUAAGGGGCCUUUGUGGAUAGGAACAAUGAGAGAGGUGCGCACAGAACAGGAAAAUGGGUGGUGACCACCAAGGACUGGAAAAAAAGCUUCUUUCAAAGGAAGGUCUUUGAAAACAUUCAUUACACCCCACCCAGCUAUUUUCACUACAAUAUUUCAGUACAUAAAACAACACAGGGAAAAUAAACAGACCACCCUUAAAAAUGCUGUAGGUCCCUGAAAAAAGACCAGCGAGCCAUAAUGCCACAGAUAUCUUCACCAAGCACAGUUGUGUAAGUGGUCUGCAAGCAUCCAGUGUAACCUUGGUCCAGAGACAGUCUCAAGUGCAUCCAGUUUCUCCACAUAAAGAGAGUAAAUUAGGCAUCUUUACUUUCAGAAUAAAGCCAUCAACAUUUCAGAUGGCACUGGCUGGUAAAUAAAUGACAGCAAGCAUUCAUAGGGAUCACAAAGUAAAAGUACUGCGACAACUUAAAAUCAAAAAGUUACAUAAGUGAAUGGUUUUCCACAACGCAUUCCAGUUGUGCUUUUUGUUUUGUUGUUCGCUAAUUUCACCAGUUAAAGUUAGAACUAAAAUUAAAAAAAAAUGUUUAGGGUAGAACAGCUGCAACACAGAAAAGGAGCAAUGAAACUGAUCCACAGUGAAAUGGUGCUCUGAAAUCAGCACAUAUUUAAGGGUAGAGCCCAGGCUUUCACUUGUCUCCAACUUGUCCCUCCUUGAUUAGGUUGAUAAGGUUUUGGGCUGCUCUGCAUUGAUGCAUUCCACAGUGACCUGAACCCUGAAUUCAGGCAGCAGGGUAUCUUUAAAGGAAGUUCAGCCAGAUUGAUGAUCACACUGCACUGCUUCAAGCAUACAGUCUUCUCACUGCAUGCUCAAAAGACGAUGCACAACAGCGCAAAACAAAAUGUUUUUUCUCCUUUAAAGAAUGUCCAAAGCAAUCAUCUAAAUUACUUUGCUUCACUGAUAAGAAGCCAUGUCUUGUCUUUCCAAAGCAUCAAAUCCUUUAAACACUUCUGCUAAUAAAGCUAAGAAAACAGCUCUUGUAAUAAAAUCUUUAUGAAAUUA